RNAcentral lists this RNase P RNA (328 nucleotides) under pig gut metagenome. Its description in RNAcentral is "Bacterial RNase P class B". It matches the Rfam family "Bacterial RNase P class B". Rfam says of the family: Ribonuclease P (RNase P) is a ubiquitous endoribonuclease, found in archaea, bacteria and eukarya as well as chloroplasts and mitochondria. The record is from RNAcentral.
UUUAGACAAUCGCUGGUCAUGCCAGAGGAAAGUCCAUGCUCGCACAGUCUGAGAUGACUGUAGUGUUUAUGCUAAUUUAAUAAAUAAGGUUAGGCAGUAUUAUACUGACGGCUGAAGAUGAAUCUAAGGUUUGUACUAUGAUUCUAUUCUAUAAAAGUGUCAAAGAGACGAGCUUUUCAGAAAUGAAAAGAGUGGAACGUGAUAAACCCCAUAAGCGAGAAACCCAAAUUUGGUAGGGGAACUUCAUCGAGUGAAAUGAAAUAAGAUGAGGACAUAGCAAUAUGUAGAUAAAUGAUUGUCACCUUUAUGGUACAGAACAUGGCUUAUU